ACGGUCCUAAGGUAGCGAAAUUCCUUGUCGGGUAAGUUCCGACCUGCACGAAUGGCGUAAUGAUGGCCAGGCUGUCUCCACCCGAGACUCAGUGAAAUUGAACUCGCUGUGAAGAUGCAGUGUACCCGCGGCAAGACGGAAAGACCCCGUGAACCUUUACUAUAGCUUGACACUGAACAUUGAGCCUUGAUGUGUAGGAUAGGUGGGAGGCUUUGAAGUGUGGACGCCAGUCUGCAUGGAGCCGACCUUGAAAUACCACCCUUUAAUGUUUGAUGUUCUAACGUUGACCCGUAAUCCGGGUUGCGGACAGUGUCUGGUGGGUAGUUUGACUGGGGCGGUCUCCUCCUAAAGAGUAACGGAGGAGCACGAAGGUUGGCUAAUCCUGGUCGGACAUCAGGAGGUUAGUGCAAUGGCAUAAGCCAGCUUGACUGCGAGCGUGACGGCGCGAGCAGGUGCGAAAGCAGGUCAUAGUGAUCCGGUGGUUCUGAAUGGAAGGGCCAUCGCUCAACGGAUAAAAGGUACUCCGGGGAUAACAGGCUGAUACCGCCCAAGAGUUCAUAUCGACGGCGGUGUUUGGCACCUCGAUGUCGGCUCAUCACAUCCUGGGGCUGAAGUAGGUCCCAAGGGUAUGGCUGUUCGCCAUUUAAAGUGGUACGCGAGCUGGGUUUAGAACGUCGUGAGACAGUUCGGUCCCUAUCUGCCGUGGGCGCUGGAGAACUGAGGGGGGCUGCUCCUAGUACGAGAGGACCGGAGUGGACGCAUCACUGGUGUUCGGGUUGUCAUGCCAAUGGCACUGCCCGGUAGCUAAAUGCGGAAGAGAUAAGUGCUGAAAGCAUCUAAGCACGAAACUUGCCCCGAGAUGAGUUCUCCCUGACUCCUUGAGAGUCCUGAAGGAACGUUGAAGACGACGACGUUGAUAGGCCGGGUGUGUAAGCGCAGCGAUGCG
Molecule: ribosomal RNA, 946 nt
Filed under: gut metagenome
Description: bacterial LSU rRNA
Rfam family: Bacterial large subunit ribosomal RNA
Source: RNAcentral